RNAcentral lists this ribosomal RNA (253 nucleotides) under uncultured bacterium. RNAcentral's name for it is "partial 16S ribosomal RNA". It matches the Rfam family "Bacterial small subunit ribosomal RNA", at positions 524 to 776 of the family's 1533-position model. The record is from RNAcentral.
UACGGGGGGCGCAAGCGUUGUUCGGAAUCACUGGGCGUAAAGCGCGUGCAGGCGGCUUGGCAAGUCGGGUGUGAAAGCCCGGGGCCCAACCCCGGAACUGCAUCCGAAACUGCCUCGCUCGAGUCCCGGAUAGGGUGGCGGAAUUUCCGGUGUAGAGGUGAAAUUCGUAGAUAUCGGAAGGAACACCAGUGGCGAAGGCGGCAACCUGGACGGUGACUGACGCUGAGUCGCGAAAUCGUGGGUAGCAAACAGG